GUAACUUACCACUGAAGGGUAUUUUUGGUAUUUCCACCAAAUUCCAUAUUUUCCGGGUAGACAUGACACGUUGCUAGAUGUCAAUCUUGUCUUAUAGGUUUGAUCAAAUUAAAGAGUUUAAUUCGAUCACCAAUUAGAAAGGAUUCUAAUUGUUAAGUUCGGGUUCGCGUAGUUUGGACUUAAAUCGAUUAGAAGAGUUCUAAUCAAGUUGGGUCAACUCGCACUCACACCUAUUGCUGGCUAAGUAUGGAACCCAAUGGGUCACACACAAGAAAACUUAUUAAGGAUCUAAUUGGAUUAGAUCAUGUUUGCAAGAUAGACAUCCU
This 326-nucleotide long non-coding RNA is filed under the name Phoenix dactylifera (date palm). Its description in RNAcentral is "long non-coding RNA (PDAC_LNC011157)". Lineage: Eukaryota; Viridiplantae; Streptophyta; Magnoliopsida; Arecales; Arecaceae. The record is from RNAcentral.